CUGAUAAAUUAUUAAAGGGCUGCAGUAUUUUGACUGUACAAAGGUAGCAUAAUCAAUAGUCUCUUAAUUGGUGACUUGUAUGAAAGAUUGGAUGAAAUAUAAACUGUCUCUUAUUUAUUUAAAGAAAUUAAUUUUUUGAUUAAAAAGUCAAAAUAAAUUUAAAAGACGAGAAGACCCUAUAGAGUUUUAUAUUUUUAUUAAUUAAGAUUAUUUUUUAGAGUAAUAAUUAAAAUUAAUAAAGGUAUUUUGUUGGGGUGAUAGAAAAAUAUGAAUAACUUUUUUUAAUAAUUUUUACAUAAAUAAGUGAAUAAUUGAUCCAAAAUUUUUGAUUAAAAGAAAAAAUUACCUUAGGGAUAACAGCGUAAUUUUUUUUUUUAGUUCAAAUAAAAAAAAAAGUUUGCGACCUCGAUGUUGGAUUAAAAUAAAAUUUAUAUGCAAAAGUAUAAAAUUUUGAUCUGUUCGAUC
This 465-nucleotide ribosomal RNA is filed under the name Achyra massalis. Its description in RNAcentral is "partial 16S ribosomal RNA". Lineage: Eukaryota; Metazoa; Arthropoda; Insecta; Lepidoptera; Crambidae. The record is from RNAcentral.